Molecule: long non-coding RNA, 6173 nt
Filed under: Sus scrofa (pig)
Lineage: Eukaryota; Metazoa; Chordata; Mammalia; Artiodactyla; Suidae
Description: lncRNA (ENSSSCG00000058685.1)
Source: RNAcentral
ACCUCAUGGUUCCUAGUCGGAUUUGCUAACCACUGCUCCAUGACAGGAACUCUGUACAGAAAUUUCCAUCUCACAUUAUCUACUAUCAUUCUCUUCAAUAUUGUGCAUUCUUCCUUUAACGUUAGGUUCAAAUGUCAUGAUAGUGGAAAGGGCAGAGGAUCUAUAGCCAGAAUUCUAAGGUCCAUGCCCUGCAUCUGCUUCUUCUUUAUCGUAUUAGUUAUUCAUUUAAAAAUCCUGAGCCUCAUUUUACUCUUCAUUUGGAACUUCUGUAGCAGUUUUUGUGAAUACAAAAUAUAAUUUUAAAAAUAAUUUCUAGGCUAUAAUGUACAAGUGCUAAAACAUGUAUAAACCUUCAGAAUUGAAUUAGUCACUUUUCUGCAACAUAACUGCAUCUAGGUGUCCUUUAGCAGUUUUCAUUAUUAUGGUUUUAAUCUCUUUUCCUCUCCCACUAAUAUGAAUUCCUAAAGAGGCCAAUGUGCUCUCAUUCAUCUUUGUAGGUCAGUGUAUAUACAGUAUGGCCCAAAAUGGGUAUGAGGAGAAUUAAGGACUAUAUGAGUUUAAAGGGAUAUUGUUAAGAUUAGUUCAGUCACAGCCAUAUUAUUAGAAGUCUAAAGUAGAUGUGAAUAUAAUUUUUAUAUCCAACUUUCAAGAUAUAAAUAAAAAAUGUAUAGUAAUUUACAAUUUGUAAUAAUGUAGGAAUAGGAACUACUAACCUGUUUACAGGGAUGUUUAAGAUGCGUAGGGAAGAAUGAGUAAGCAUAGAGUCAGUGUUAUAACACAGAGUAUCAUGUGCUCUUUUAAAUAAGUGUGAGAUUAAAUGUGUAUAAAAAGAAAGUAUGAACUUCACUCCUUCUCAAAUACCAAGAGAUGGGAUUUCUGAAAGGGAAUUGAAUGACCUGAGAAGUUUUAAUUUCUCCAUGAUGCUUUCUGCCUUUGAUCUGUUUCAGAGGAUGCUGAAGAUAAAGUCAUACAUAAGAAAAUCUUGGAGUUCAUUUUAGAAAGGUCUUAUAAUUUUCAAUUCUAUGCUCUUUCCACAUCUGUGACAUUUGAGUUAUUGUUUUAAUUUGUGUUUCCUUGAGGGCACUGGUCCAUGGGUGAUCCUGACAGAGGAAAUUUGUUUUCUGCAUGAUUUCUCUCUGGUUUUGGUGGAGUUGCUGAGCUGGGUGCCACUCCCAUACUGCUGGGCAUCUAUCCCAGUGCAGAUGCCCUGUGCUUCUCUUGGGGAUAGAUUUGCCAGCUGUCUUUUCAAUGAAGAAUGGAUUCCCUGUUGAAACUUUAGAUACUGCUCUUCCCACUCGCUUUCUCAUGGCCAUGGUGGCUGUCACUCCCAGUGCCUAAGUGCAGCAGCCACUCCCAGUGGUUCUCCUAGACUGAUGCCCCGGAUAAGAACUGUUCACCUCCUUAAGGACAGGUUUACUGUCCUGCACCUCCAGACUGACUGAGGACUUAAUCCUUGGUUUCCCAGUACUAUCUGUAAAGAGCUCCUAUAGAGAUCAUGGCUGCAGCCUCAGUCUGCCUGCUUUCUGCUUAUUUUAGCUGCCUGUUAACCCUGCCUGAGUGCUGUCUAAUCAAUAACGGAAGGAUUUCAAAGGGCUCUCCUUCUAUGGCUCUCUUUGACCUUGUUCUUGUUCAUCUUGUUCUGUCGAUUUCCACCCCUGGAUCCUCCAAACUCAGUGUGUUGCUGGGAUCCAGAACUUCUGCCGAGUGCUGGGUACUUAUUCCUUCCCCAAAAGUGCUGGAUGACUCAGCCUGGGUGUUGGUCUAUACCUGCAUUGAAACCAGCAGAUAUCCCACAAUGUUUCUGGCACUUCGAUGCCCCUUAGAACUUGUUUCCAAGACAGAUGCAAAGUCCAUCUAUUGUAUUGUUUACAGAAUUGGUGACAAGAACAUGACAGAUAAUCAAGAGUUUGUCCUCAAGCCUCCAUCUCUUCUUCAUAAACAAAUCUUGGCCUUUAAAAAAUUGAAAACUCCUGCUUGCAUCUUGUUUCUUUUCUAUAUGUUUGGAAAGAUUGCCUUUGACAGCAUCCUGCUCUCAUGAUGCAUUUGCACCUUAACUACUUCAGAAACUGUCCAGUUACUCCAUAGGUCCUUUAAUAAGCUAACUGAACCCUCCCUUGUGAUUGUAACACUGAAAACUCAGCUGGAACUUCACUGUGCCCACACUCACAAUAAACACGACCAACUGCUUUUGUGUGGUGUGUUCUUUUGCAUAUACCAGCUUGAACAAGCCCUACGAUAUUAUGUCACAUGUUCUUUAAUUUACUUGAUAUAAGCAAGGCUACUUGCUUUCAAUUUCUUGUUCCUUUAAAGUAUAUAUCAGAAGGAAAUUCUUUCUUUUAAAUUGUCGUAAAAAUAGAAAGCGAGCUUAAGAUUACAAUUGGAGGUAUCUCUGGUUUCUUAACAAUAGAAACUGUAGUUCCACAUACAGAAACUAUACAUAUGGAUGUAAGAUUUUUUUUUUUUUCACCAUCGAAGGAUUUUUUUUUCCUUAUGUAGGAAUACUCUUUUUAUAAUUUUUUUGACCUUCUCCCCUGGUGCUGCUUUUAGAAAAAUUAAUGAGAUAUGGUCUGGAAAUCAUUUUGUGCUCCUUAGAGGGAUGCUAUGCAAAUUUAAGGAAAUAGUAUGAGGACUCAUUAUAUUAAGAGUCAGGUAAUUAUUUGAAGGACUGGGAAACUUAACUUUAAGUUGUGAUUGAAGUAUUUGUUGAAAUUUUGAAAUGAUUGAAGUCCAAUUCUAAAUGAGAAUCAUCACUGUUGUCAAUAGUCUUUGAAAGAGCCAUCAAACAAUAUUUCUUGUGCUGUGUUGAGUGUCUUGGAAACCUAAUCAUAGUCAUUGUCCCACAGGAGAAAAUAUAAAAUAGUUUGCUUUAGGCAUUAUUGAAGCAUUUCUGUGCAGAUACUUUAUUUUACUUUACAAUUCACAGAGGUGUUUUACUACAAUGCACAGUCCACAGCCCACUUAACUAGCUUUUCAGUGUCAUAAACCUAAGGUUAUGUUAGGUUAAUUUUCCUCUUUGUCCACCUGAUCUGCCAGCCUUUUUUUCCCCUUAAAACUGACAGCAAGAUGACUGAUUACACACAAGUACAAUACCCCUUUUUGAAUGCAUGACCUUUUCUGGAAUCAAGUUAGAAAUUCAGAGGACAUGAAGAAACCAUUGUAAAUUAAUAAAGAAAAAUAGUUCCAACACCCACUGACCAGUUGGGCAGAUCAUCACCAUAUUCUCUUGUGCCUUGAAAUCAUUCACAAUGGAUAUUCUUUCAAUUAUAGAGAAAAUUAACUACCUCCAAGAACCAAAUUAAGAAGUCUAGUGCAAUGAGCUGGGAAGCUCUUUAUGAAUGGUAUCACCACCUGAUGAGCAACAAUUUCACAUGUAAUUAUAAUGGUGUAUAAUUUAUCACUCUCCCUCACUUCUUUCAAAUCAUGCCGCACUGUUAGGGUUUCUAGCUGAGGGAGUUACAUGCUGGGACAAAGGUCUGCCUAAGACAGUUUAUCACAUCUCUGUGAUAUCGACAAUGGCACUACAACAAACGGCACUAGCUUUAACUUUAAGAAGAAGUUAUAGCAGAAUUUUUCAACCAAAGCUCCCAGCCUGUCAUUUUUAUUAAUACCCAACUUCAUGAUAGUCUAUGGGUCUAGCAAGUAAGGCAGAACAGAGUAGGUGGAGAAUGUUUCUUACCUUCUCUUCCACUUACGCUGAUCAAUAAGGUGUCUUUCUUCGUGGUCAAACGCUUUACACUGGGACAAUUUGAAUCUUGGUGGAGUAGGGGAGUCAGAGAAAAUGCAGGAGAAGAAGUCAGAACAAUUAGCUUUAAUAAGUAUGGCUUGUAGGACUAACCAAAUCUAUGAUCCUCCUUAUAGGAAAGGCAGUUUGCCUAUAAGUUUCUAGACUGUAAGUUUCUAUAAGUUUCUAGACUACUCUCACCAUAAGGAGGAAUCUUAAGGAAUCAAAUCUGGAUUAUUUUCUAGAAGAGUUUGAAUACCUCUGGCAUGUAUUUUGAGACAUGAAACAUGAAAUGGCAAUAAUUCUGAAAAAGAGAUGUGUACAGAUAUUUGUUAAAAGUGUCACAGCCUUUGCCUCCAUCCAUCACUCUGCAUUAUUGUUUGGACCAUCCUCUAUCAGAUUGUUUUUUAUUCUUGAAAUAGAAAAGUGUGUCUCACAAUUCAGAGGAGUUAUGUAUAGAAGUGGUAAAAUCAUUUUAAAAAUUAAACAUGCAUUUCUGUUUUAAAAUACGGUAACUUUUUUAGACUAUAAUUCAAUAAUCAUAUGUCAAUAUAUUGAAAAAAAUUGUAUUUUAAGACAAAGGCCAGCAUAAUAUUUAAGAAGAAACAUUAAACACUUUAAAAUUCAGGAAAGAUAUAAAAUGUCCAAUAGUAACAUAAUUAUUUAAGAUUUUACAGGAAAUACUGAAACUAAAAGACUUUGCAAUCAGAAAAGAAAAAGAAAUAAUAUAUAAAUUAGAAGAAAAGAGAAGGGAAAAAACCUGAUUUUUUGCAGAUUAUGUAGUUGCAAGGAUUUUUCCUUUACAAAAGAAUUAUCCUUCAAGAUAUCUGAGUCUUACACGUUUCUGGGGGUUAGUGUCCACACCAAAUGAGUUAAGUAAUGUAAGUGACAGGUUUUAUAGGGCCUUAGGAUGCUGAGGCAUUUAUUCUAACUCACACUUUCAGUCGGGUUAAUGGACUGAAAAUUCUUCUCUGGACGGUAGCAAGAAAGCUUUCUAGGUGUGAAGUCACUGUGUCACUGUAUACCCAGCUCCCUGAUACUCAGCACUAAACGGACUCUCUGUAUGUCAGGCAUCACACAUUCUAUCUAUCUGAUCAGUUAUCUUGCCGCACUCAUCACUGACUCCUCUUUGCUCCCUGGAGCCUUUAUGUACUCUUUCUGCUGCUAGUGACCUUUCAUUCUCCCCCAGUCCAUCCCUUAUUUAGAAUUUCUCAUGUUAUCACUUCUCCAAGGACCCAUUCCUUAAUUCCUCAAACCAAAGAAGGUGCUACAGUUAAAAUCUUCAUAGUGUUAUGUAGUUCUCCUUCAUAACAAUUAUCUGAAUUCAAUUAUAGUGUAAUUGAUUAUCCAUUAUCUGUCUCCCUUCCUGUCUACACUCUCCAUUUUCAUGCAUUCAAGAUAAGUAUUGGUCACUAUUGAAAAUCCAGACUUUGACCAUCACCUUUAUUAUCAGAGACGUAUUUGGUAAAUUGAAGCUUUCUGUUACUAAAGACCUCUUAUUUGUAGAAACCUAGUAUUCCCUCAAAAGUAAAAAAAUUGCUCUAAAUAAUUUCCUUGUCUGUAAUCAAAAAGUAACACUUUGAUUCAUGUAAACAAGUCUGUUUUUUAUUCACAAAGUAAGCUUCUAAAUUUUUGAAGACAGUCUUGUGCCCUCAGUAUUUUCUCUUCUUACCGAACAUCAUCCACUCAUUCUUAAGAAAAGGAUUGACUAUAUAUAUUCUUGGACCGGGUAUGAAGUCCAGGGCUUUUCCUCACUCCUUAAGUGACACUGCAGUUUCCAGGGCUUUCAUCUCAAUGCCCAUGUAGAAAAGCUUUCAGAGCACUACUUUUCGACUCCUUUUCAUCUAGGCCAUUUUUCCAGUGCCACUGUUUUUUUCUCUUCCUCAGUCUGCACUUUAUCUUGUUUUUGGAAUUGGAGAAACUCACUCUUCAGUGUGCCUCUUGAUCUCUCUAUCUUAGUAUUCCCCAAAUCCAAUUCUGUUUCCCCAGGGCAUAUCUGAUGUUUAUUAGUGGGCAGAUGGUUGUGAUAAUAAAAAGACUCUGAGGGUUCACUUGCAAAAAUUAUGUAAAUUAUGGAUGUGGGAUGAAGUAUAAAACAAAUGUAUUACUACUUAGAAAUAUGUUCUCACGCUUUAGUCCCCAAAGGAGGGUGAAAAAAUCAUUGGAAGCUGUACUGAAAUAUGAUAUUCAAGAAGGUGUCUUCUUGGAGUUGCCGUCAUGGCGCAGUGGUUAACAAGUCUGACUAGGAACCAUGAGGUUGCAGGUUCAGUCCCUGGCCUCGCUCAGUGGGUUAAGGAUCUGGCGUUGCCGUAACCUGUGGUGUGGGUUGCAGACACGGCUUGGAUCCUGUGUUGCUGCGGCUCUGGCAUAGGCCUACAGCUAUAGCUCUGAUUCAACCCCUAGCCUGGGAACCUCUAUAUGCUGUGGGAGCGUUCUUAGAAAAGGCAAAAAG